UUGCACUGUUCGUAACCUUUUGACAGCAUUUUUCUGCAAAUAGGUUCCAUUCCAGUGCUACAUUAAAUCCAGUAAUGGAAGGCUGACAAACUCCCAUGUCCCUUCUGUAUCUGGAGACAAAG
Camarhynchus parvulus is the source of this 122-nucleotide small nucleolar RNA. NCBI's taxonomy places the organism in Eukaryota, Metazoa, Chordata, Aves, Passeriformes, Thraupidae. The record is from RefSeq and is a predicted model, not a curated record.